GAAAGAACUCUGCCAGGGCUCUCCGCUCUCUUCGGAAGGUGGAGGAUCUUUCUCCUGUGGCUUCCAUGGACUCCCAGGGCGUAGAACAGGCAGAUCCUCAGAUCCCUGUUUGUGAUAGAAUCUUGAGACCCUGCAGAAUAUUCACAGAUGAAACGAACGGUGGCAUAGAGCACACCCCUUCCCCUUUGUGGAGAAGUGUGCACCACCCUGCCCUCAGAAACCUUCGAGAAUUAAAUGCCCACCCUCUUCCCGGAUCAAGAGGGUACAAGAGUGGGAAAGUGGAAGUGAGUUCGUGGACGAAGACCAAAGAAUGCCAGCAGUGUGAAUUGGUGGGGCGGAUUCCAGGCAGUUGUUCUCAUUUCUAAAUGUAACUGAAGCUCUUUUACCCGGAAAUAUGGCUUGAGAUCACAAGAAAGAGGAAUCAGGCCAGAGCCACAUUUUGGCACUGGCACAUCAGAAAUACCAUAGGCGUGGGUUUUCUCACAGGGUGGUAUUUCACUGUUUGGACAUCUGGCUGAUCCGCUGAAAACAUGCAUUUGUGAGAAAUACAUGGGAACCAUUUCUUUUUGAUAAAUAAGGAAAUACUUAGGGUUAGCACUGGAUUCUUUUAGCAAUAACAACCUUUUUGUUUCUCUUCGCUAUGUGAGGAGAGAAAGGAGACUCAUGUUUAUCGUACAAACGAUUACUUUAGCACGCUGCUCUUAGAGAACAAACCAGAAAGCCACACACAUUAUUCCUACAUGUUUCCAACUCUGUGGGAAAUUCGCGUUUUGAAACUUCGGUAUAUUACAUAUAAAUAAACAUACCUUAUUGAAAUCCCAUCUUUUGGAAAUGUUGUUUUAUAAGAGAGUAAAGCAGUAGACGAAAGGCUUGUCUCUAAAAGAUUGUUCUGUUAUAAGCUAUUUUUCUUUGCUAAGAUACUGUUUUAACAAAAAUAUUUCUAAUUCAAAUUCUGGAGACUAUUUUUUUUAAGGUUCUGAGCGAUUUCUCUAGUCCAGUCUGG
Molecule: long non-coding RNA, 1003 nt
Filed under: Callithrix jacchus (white-tufted-ear marmoset)
Lineage: Eukaryota; Metazoa; Chordata; Mammalia; Primates; Cebidae
Description: lncRNA (ENSCJAG00000075418.1)
Source: RNAcentral